This 69-nucleotide transfer RNA is filed under the name Marmota monax (woodchuck). It matches the Rfam family "tRNA". Rfam says of the family: Transfer RNA (tRNA) molecules are approximately 80 nucleotides in length. Their secondary structure includes four short double-helical elements and three loops (D, anti-codon, and T loops). The record is from Rfam by way of RNAcentral. Lineage: Eukaryota; Metazoa; Chordata; Mammalia; Rodentia; Sciuridae.
GGCGUUGUGGCUCAGUGGUAGAGUGCUCGCUUCGAGUGUGGGAGGCCCUGGGUUCAAUCCUCAGCACCA